UUUACACACAAUUUUCGUUUUAACUUUUACACACAAUUUUCGUUUUAGGCCUAUAAGUACUUUUCGAAAAUGUAGCGAUCGUUUUGGAUUGAACUCACGGCAUCGUCAUGACAUAAGAGGGAUUUCGAUCGUUUGUUUUUGAAGAGCGAGCACUUGCAUAAUUGGAUUGUCGGUGUUCAAAGAAUUGAGCACAACUUUUGCACACGGUGUCUGUUCUGGGCCUAUAAGUACUUUUCGGAUAUGUAGCGACCGUUUUUGAUUGAAUUCACAGCUUUGCCAUUACGUAUGAGCAAUUUCAGGCAUUUUUUUUGAAGAACGAACACUUGCAUAUUUGGAUUGUCGGCGUUCGAAGAAUUGAGCGUAACUUUUGCACACGGUGUUCAGUUUGGGCCCAUAAGUACUUUUCGAAAAUGUAGCGACCAUUUUAGAUUGAACUCACGACAUCAUCAUGAUGUAAGAGGGAUUUCGACCAUUUGUUUUUUGAAGAACGAGCACUUGCAUAUUUGGAUUGUCGGCUUU
RNAcentral lists this small RNA (519 nucleotides) under Olea europaea subsp. europaea. Lineage: Eukaryota; Viridiplantae; Streptophyta; Magnoliopsida; Lamiales; Oleaceae. The record is from RNAcentral.